UCCCUCUUGCGCCACCACACAAGUUGUCCCUAAAGAGGAAGGGGCCUUGCUCAUCUUUGAAUUGUGCGAGGUCGCGUUGACAUUCCUGACCAGGGGCAUGCUUGUGUGUGGUCAUUGUUCUACUUUCCCACUGCAGGACGCUGCAGCUUUGCCUCCCACCACUGGCCGCUUCGCGUGAGGUUCCUUUCCGUCCGAGAUGUGAGUAGAUAGAUACCUCCCUGCAGUUUCCACAAUGGAGAAAGGGAGAAGAAUGAUCAGGAGUUUGUGAGAGACUCUUGGUCUGCUGUGUACGGGAGGUAUUCGAUCAUGUAUAACCUGACAGAGGUGCUGGAUGAGUGCAGUGCAGAUGUGCUUCAGUUCAGGCGCAAUGUGGAUGGCGAUGACAUAUAUACUCAAUGGUGGUCCAUUAGUGGAUUCCAGGAGUGGAGAUGGCCAGGAUUUGAUCUGAGUGCGCUGCAGAAGGAACUUCAGAUGCUCAUUCUGUACGUGGUUGAAGACUGUGGUUCACUGAGCAUAGGAGCAAUAAGCAACGAUGAAUAGAGAGCUAAGAUUGAUCAAGAUAUCUAAAGAGCCAGAUGCACAACAAGAUGCCAUGCUCAAUGAUGGCCCAUUAGUGGAUUUCAGGAGUGGGGAUGGCUAGGAUUUGAUCUGAGUGCGCUGGAGAAGGAGCUUCAGAUGCUCAUUCCGUACGUGGCUGAAGACUGUGGUUCACUGAGCAGUAAGUCCUUCUGGCCUCUUUCAUAUUCGUCAUAAUCAGAAUUCUUUAACAUGCUCAAUAUAGGAUUCGGUUUGUGAUGUUGUAAUUGGAUUGUUUUCUGUAGAUCUUUGGAUAUUAUUUUAUACCAGCGCCUGAGAGUCGUAAUUCUA
Molecule: long non-coding RNA, 867 nt
Organism: Lolium rigidum
Lineage: Eukaryota; Viridiplantae; Streptophyta; Magnoliopsida; Poales; Poaceae
Exons: 3
Source: RefSeq, a predicted model, not a curated record